Trachemys scripta elegans is the source of this 1148-nucleotide long non-coding RNA. RefSeq lists it as uncharacterized. The record is from RefSeq and is a predicted model, not a curated record. NCBI's taxonomy places the organism in Eukaryota, Metazoa, Chordata, Testudines, Emydidae. The transcript is spliced from 3 exons.
UAAGAUUCUAUAAAGUGUUUGCUUCCGAGUUUGAGGUAUUUCUGGCUGCAUUAUCUAGAAGAGCCUGCUGUACCAUGAUACUCAUGAUCAGCACAUCAGAUGAUAACUUUAACAGUCCUCUGACUGCACAGGCAGCAGCCUAGUACCUCACCCUUUACUAUCAAAAGGCCACAGUUUUCCCCACAGUGACUUCCUUUCAACAACUGCAAUGCAGCACAAAGACAAAAGAAGAGAUGUAAUCACUAAUUCUCUUUGAGAACUGCAUGGGGGUUCCAGCUCAGGAUUCCCAAAGAAUAAAAGAGAAGACAUGAAAAGAAUUGAUGUUUAGGCCAUUCAGAAACUGGAACAGAGGAAUCCUUAGCUUUACAUCUGAGGAGAGUAGGUUGAACUGCAUACCAUCCUGGACACACUAACCACAUGACACAAACAGGUUUUUCCACCACUACACUCUCUGGGCUGAGGAAGCCAUGCCUCCUCACCCCUGCUGGGCAUGCUCCAAGUGGAACCAGAGUAUAAAAAGGAGUAGAUCAUCUCAGUCUGGGCUGGCCACUGAUGAGAGCAGACAUGUGUUGCAGGCUCCCAUUGGGAGAUUGCCAGAACUCCAGGACACAGAAGCCAACUGGGUUGAGACAUCAGUGGACCGUGGAUGGAGGAAAGACAGCAGAGGCCAUGAGACUACCAGUGGUGGAAGGAAGAGUAGGAAGCAGCACAGGAAAUGUGACGGUAGUAUUGAGUGACUGAGGCUGAUUAUAGAAACCUUGGUUCCUUAGCACCCUGUGCUGGGACCCAGUGGAGAAGGGUGGGCCCAGGUUCCCUCACCCCAGCAGCCCUGCCACUGGGACAGCCGAUGCCUGGAGGGGCAAACUUAACCAUUAUGUGGACUUGGAUUGCUAGGCCAGGCUGUCCUGAACCGAAGGACAGCCCCACUGAUUCUGGCCAUUGGGCCACGCUGCCCUGAGCUGCAGGGACACUACCUAAAUCCUGGCCACUUGGGCCACCAAAUAGCCAUUUUGAUAACCCCCACAAUCCGACACCCUGUGAUGGUGUGUACCUACCCCGGGACAGGCUCUCUUUCUCUGCACUACAUGCCCCUUCUCUUUCCUCUUAAUUCUUUGCACCUCCCAGGCUCAGCACUUGCAUGUGCUUAC